This 3006-nucleotide ribosomal RNA is filed under the name Salmonella enterica subsp. diarizonae. RNAcentral describes it as "23S ribosomal RNA". It matches the Rfam family "Bacterial large subunit ribosomal RNA". Lineage: Bacteria; Pseudomonadati; Pseudomonadota; Gammaproteobacteria; Enterobacterales; Enterobacteriaceae. The record is from RNAcentral.
GGUUAAGCGACCAAGCGUACACGGUGGAUGCCCUGGCAGUCAGAGGCGAUGAAGGACGUGCUAAUCUGCGAAAAGCGCCGGUAAGGUGAUAUGAACCGUUAUAACCGGCGAUGUCCGAAUGGGGAAACCCAGUGUGACUCGUCACACUAUCAUUAACUGAAUCCAUAGGUUAAUGAGGCGAACCGGGGGAACUGAAACAUCUAAGUACCCCGAGGAAAAGAAAUCAACCGAGAUUCCCCCAGUAGCGGCGAGCGAACGGGGAGGAGCCCAGAGCCUGAAUCAGCAUGUGUGUUAGUGGAAGCGUCUGGAAAGGCGCGCGAUACAGGGUGAGAGCCCCGUACACAAAAGCGCAUAUGCUGUGAGCUCGAUGAGUAGGGCGGGACACGUGGUAUCCUGUCUGAAUAUGGGGGGACCAUCCUCCAAGGCUAAAUACUCCUGACUGACCGAUAGUGAACCAGUACCGUGAGGGAAAGGCGAAAAGAACCCCGGCGAGGGGAGUGAAACAGAACCUGAAACCGUGUACGUACAAGCAGUGGGAGCCCCACCACUAAGCCAGUGGUGAACUCCACAUACGCAUCCUUUGCGGAAGAUGCGGUUAACGGAGCGAAAGCGACGUUCAACCUCAGAAGAAGCAGAGGGGGCUUAGUGGUGGGGUGACUGCGUACCUUUUGUAUAAUGGGUCAGCGACUUAUAUUCUGUAGCAAGGUUAACCGCAUAGGGGAGCCGAAGGGAAACCGAGUCUUAAUUGGGCGUUAAGUUGCAGGGUAUAGACCCGAAACCCGGUGAUCUAGCCAUGGGCAGGUUGAAGGUUGGGUAACACUAACUGGAGGACCGAACCGACUAAUGUUGAAAAAUUAGCGGAUGACCUGUGGCUGGGGGUGAAAGGCCAAUCAAACCGGGAGAUAGCUGGUUCUCCCCGAAAGCUAUUUAGGUAGCGCCUCGUGAAUUCAUCUCCGGGGGUAGAGCACUGUUUCGGCUAGGGGGCCAUCCCGGCUUACCAACCCGAUGCAAACUGCGAAUACCGGAGAAUGUUAUCACGGGAGACACACGGCGGGUGCUAACGUCCGUCGUGAAGAGGGAAACAACCCAGACCGCCAGCUAAGGUCCCAAAGUCAUGGUUAAGUGGGAAACGAUGUGGGAAGGCCCAGACAGCCAGGAUGUUGGCUUAGAAGCAGCCAUCAUUUAAAGAAAGCGUAAUAGCUCACUGGUCGAGUCGGCCUGCGCGGAAGAUGUAACGGGGCUAAACCAUGCACCGAAGCUGCGGCAGCGACACUGUGUGUUGUUGGGUAGGGGAGCGUUCUGUAAGCCGUUGAAGGUGUCCUGUGAGGGGUGCUGGAGGUAUCAGAAGUGCGAAUGCUGACAUAAGUAACGAUAAAGCGGGUGAAAAGCCCGCUCGCCGGAAGACCAAGGGUUCCUGUCCAACGUUAAUCGGGGCAGGGUGAGUCGACCCCUAAGGCGAGGCCGAAAGGCGUAGUCGAUGGGAAACGGGUUAAUAUUCCCGUACUUGGUGUUACUGCGAAGGGGGGACGGAGAAGGCUAUGUUGGCCGGGCGACGGUAGUCCCGGUUUAAGCGUGUAGGUGUGUGUUCCAGGUAAAUCCGGUUCACUUUAACACUGAGGCGUGAUGACGAGGCACCACGGUGCUGAAGCAACAAAUGCCCUGCUUCCAGGAAAAGCCUCUAAGCAUCAGGUAACAUCAAAUCGUACCCCAAACCGACACAGGUGGUCAGGUAGAGAAUACCAAGGCGCUUGAGAGAACUCGGGUGAAGGAACUAGGCAAAAUGGUGCCGUAACUUCGGGAGAAGGCACGCUGACACGUAGGUGAAGUGAUUUACUCAUGGAGCUGAAGUCAGUCGAAGAUACCAGCUGGCUGCAACUGUUUAUUAAAAACACAGCACUGUGCAAACACGAAAGUGGACGUAUACGGUGUGACGCCUGCCCGGUGCCGGAAGGUUAAUUGAUGGGGUCAGCGCAAGCGAAGCUCCUGAUCGAAGCCCCGGUAAACGGCGGCCGUAACUAUAACGGUCCUAAGGUAGCGAAAUUCCUUGUCGGGUAAGUUCCGACCUGCACGAAUGGCGUAAUGAUGGCCAGGCUGUCUCCACCCGAGACUCAGUGAAAUUGAACUCGCUGUGAAGAUGCAGUGUACCCGCGGCAAGACGGAAAGACCCCGUGAACCUUUACUAUAGCUUGACACUGAACAUUGAGCCUUGAUGUGUAGGAUAGGUGGGAGGCUUUGAAGCGUGGACGCCAGUCUGCGUGGAGCCGACCUUGAAAUACCACCCUUUAAUGUUUGAUGUUCUAACGUGGACCCGUAAUCCGGGUUGCGGACAGUGUCUGGUGGGUAGUUUGACUGGGGCGGUCUCCUCCUAAAGAGUAACGGAGGAGCACGAAGGUUGGCUAAUCCUGGUCGGACAUCAGGAGGUUAGUGCAAUGGCAUAAGCCAGCUUGACUGCGAGCGUGACGGCGCGAGCAGGUGCGAAAGCAGGUCAUAGUGAUCCGGUGGUUCUGAAUGGAAGGGCCAUCGCUCAACGGAUAAAAGGUACUCCGGGGAUAACAGGCUGAUACCGCCCAAGAGUUCAUAUCGACGGCGGUGUUUGGCACCUCGAUGUCGGCUCAUCACAUCCUGGGGCUGAAGUAGGUCCCAAGGGUAUGGCUGUUCGCCAUUUAAAGUGGUACGCGAGCUGGGUUUAGAACGUCGUGAGACAGUUCGGUCCCUAUCUGCCGUGGGCGCUGGAAGACUGAGGGGGGCUGCUCCUAGUACGAGAGGACCGGAGUGGACGCAUCACUGGUGUUCGGGUUGUCAUGCCAAUGGCACUGCCCGGUAGCUAAAUGCGGAAAAGAUAAGUGCUGAAAGCAUCUAAGCACGAAACUUGCCCCGAGAUGAGUCUUCCCUGAGACUUUGAGUCUCCUGAAGGAACGUUAAAGACGAUGACGUUGAUAGGCCGGGUGUGUAAGCGCAGCGAUGCGUUGAGCUAACCGGUACUAAUGAACCGUGAGGCUUAACCUU